This 497-nucleotide ribosomal RNA is filed under the name uncultured bacterium. RNAcentral describes it as "partial 16S ribosomal RNA". It matches the Rfam family "Bacterial small subunit ribosomal RNA", at positions 28 to 507 of the family's 1533-position model. The record is from RNAcentral.
GAUGAACGCUGGCGGCGUGCCUAAUACAUGCAAGUCGAGCGAACAGACGAGGAGCUUGCUCCUCUGACGUUAGCGGCGGACGGGUGAGUAACACGUGGAUAACCUACCUAUAAGACUGGGAUAACUUCGGGAAACCGGAGCUAAUACCGGAUAAUAUAUUGAACCGCAUGGUUCAAUAGUGAAAGACGGUUUUGCUGUCACUUCUAGAUGGAUCCGCGCCGCAUUAGCUAGUUGGUAAGGUAACGGCUUACCAAGGCAACGAUGCGUAGCCGACCUGAGAGGGUGAUCGGCCACACUGGAACGUAGACACGGUCCAGACUCCUACGGGAGGCAGCAGUAGGGAAUCUUCCGCAAUGGGCGAAAGCCUGACGGAGCAACGCCGCGUGAGUGAUGAAGGUCUUCGGAUCGUAAAACUCUGUUAUUAGGGAAGAACAAAUGUGUAAGUAACUAUGCACGUCUUGACGGUACCUAAUCAGAAAGCCACGGCUAACUACGUG